GUGAGAGUGAGAGAGAGAGAAUAUUCACCUUGUCACGUAAAGACAAAUUCGAAAUCAAUGCCUAUGAGAUAAUUAAAAAAUUCGACGAUUAUAUAGCCUAUGAGUUAUGAGUAUCACCAAUAAGAUAACCACUCACUAUUUCUUAAUUACUCACUGCAUUUCAUUUUAAUUGUCGUUAUAAAUUUAUGCACAUAAAUUAAAAAAAUAUGAUUUUGUAUAUUUCCAAAAUAAAAACAUAAUUACCUAUACAUCUAACUAAUCAUAUUUCAAUCAAUAGAAAAAUAAAGUGAAGAAUCUUAUUAAUAAAUUUUACAUUAAAACUC
RNAcentral lists this long non-coding RNA (323 nucleotides) under Brassica napus (rape). RNAcentral describes it as "long non-coding RNA (BNAP_LNC024176)". The record is from RNAcentral. Lineage: Eukaryota; Viridiplantae; Streptophyta; Magnoliopsida; Brassicales; Brassicaceae.